CCCAACUUACUUCCUCUGAUUUUCCCUGGACAGGCUGUAAAGAUGCGUGGGAUCUUUGCUAGUUGUGCGCUCUCAGCCCUGCUGCUGGCUGCAGCCUGGGCAGACCACCACCACCACCACGGCUCUGAACACAGCCACGAGGGAGAGUUGAGCUGCCACAAACUGUCCUCUCCCAAUGCUGACUUUGCCUUUGCCCUCUACAAACACCUGAGUACCAACGCUGCUGCCGGAAAAAACGUAUUCUUCUCACCGCUGGGCAUCUCCACCGCCCUGUCCAUGCUGUCUACAGGGGCCAGUGGUGAAACCCACCGCCAGCUGUUCUCCAGCUUGGGCUACAGUGCUCAAACCCAGGCACAGGUCAAUGAAGCAUACGAGCAUCUCUUCCACAUGAUGGGACACAGCCAGGAGAGCCAGCAGCUGGAUGUAGGUAACGGUGUGGCCGUGCGCUCCGGCUUCAGUCCUCUGGAGAAGUUCCUGAAGGAUAUCAAGCACUACUACUCUGCUGAUAUCUUCAACGUCGACUUCACCAAACCUGCCGAGGCUGCGGCACAGAUCAACACCUUCAUUGCCAGUAAAACCCAGGACAAGAUCAAAGAUAUGGUGAAGGACCUGGACAGUGAGAUGGCCAUGGUGCUGAUCAACUAUGUCUACUUCAGAGGACAAUGGGAGAAACCCUUCGAUGGGAACCAAACGCACAAGGCAGACUUCAAUGUGGACGAAGCCACCAAGGUCCAAGUGGAUAUGAUGAAGAGGAAUGGCCGCUACGAAUACUACCAGGACGCCGACAACCACACCACGGUUGUCAUGCUACCCUACAAGGGCAACACCUCCAUGAUGAUCGUCCUGCCCGAUGAAGGCAAGAUGAAGGAGGUGGAGGGCUACAUCAACAAGGACUACAUCAAGCACUGGCAUGACUCGCUCUUCAGGAGCUCUGUGGAUCUGUUCCUGCCAAAGUUUUCCAUCUCUGCUGAAGCCUCCCUGGACAGCCCACUCAAAGAACUGGGCAUAACCAACGCUUUUGCGGACAACGCUGAUUUCUCUGGCGUGUCCGACGAGAUCAAGCUCAAAGUCUCAAAGGUGUCCCACCAGGCAGUGCUGAGCGUGGACGAAACGGGAACAGAGGCAGCAGCCGUCAGCACCAUCGAGGUCAUGCCCAUGAGCAUGCCUGAAACGAUAAAACUCGACAGACCCUUCAUGGUCCUCAUCCUGGAGCACUCGACCAGGAGCAUCAUCUUCAUGGGAAAGAUCAGCAACCCCACAGCCGAGUAAAGAUGCUAGGGAAAAGAUGAGUGUUACAUGUGUUCCUUUUUCACACUGUAGUUGGGUUUUUUUUUGUUUUUUUUUUAGCCAAAGGACAUUAGCUCCUUUUUUUUUUUACCUUAGCAUUUGCAAGCCCUGUAAUGACAGUUUGAUGAACAAGAUGACAGAUCUAUCAUGGAGUAACAAAUGUCUGUCCAUUAAUCUGCUAUGCCGUCUGUCAACAUGACACAUUUAUUACCAUCUGUCAUCUGAAUCUGGUUUGGUGUACAAAUACUGAAAUGCAAAAUUGUAUAUUGUAUCCAGCUUGACUAUGUGAUGCAGAUAACUAAAACAUUAGAUAAAUCUUCUUUUUUUUUUUUUUUAAAACGUGCUUACACUCAUUUGGCUAUUGCUGUUUCAACAUGGUGAAGUGAAAUAAAGAAUUUUUUAAUCUGGG
Sander lucioperca (pikeperch) is the source of this 1696-nucleotide RNA transcript. It is a transcript of the gene named alpha-1-antitrypsin homolog, with no coding region annotated. The transcript is spliced from 5 exons. The record is from RefSeq and is a predicted model, not a curated record. Lineage: Eukaryota; Metazoa; Chordata; Actinopteri; Perciformes; Percidae.